RNAcentral lists this ribosomal RNA (478 nucleotides) under uncultured bacterium. Its description in RNAcentral is "partial 16S ribosomal RNA". It matches the Rfam family "Bacterial small subunit ribosomal RNA", at positions 28 to 507 of the family's 1533-position model. The record is from RNAcentral.
GAUGAACGCUGGCGGCGUGCUUAACACAUGCAAGUCGAACGAGAAGUGAAGACGGAAACCUUCGGGCGGAAGGCUUUAUUUCGAGUGGCGGACGGGUGAGUAACGCGUGGGUAACCUGCCUCAUACAGGGGGAUAACAGUUGGAAACGACUGUUAAUACCGCAUAAGACCACAGCACCGCAUGGUGCGGGGGUAAAAACUCCGGUGGUAUGAGAUGGACCCGCGUUCGAUUAGCCAGUUGGCGGGGUAACGGCCCACCAAAGCGACGAUCGAUAGCCGAGAAGAGAGGAAGGGCGGACACAUUGGGGCGGAGAAACGGCCCAGAAUACUAGGGGAGGGAGCAGAGGGGAAUAUUGCACAAUGGGGGAAACCCUGAUGCAGCGAGGCCGCGUGAGUGAAGAAGUAUGUGGGUAUGUAAAGCUCGAUCAGCAGGGAAGAAAAUGACGGUACCUGAGGAAGAAGCCCCGGCUAACUACGUG